Molecule: long non-coding RNA, 308 nt
Organism: Capsicum annuum
Lineage: Eukaryota; Viridiplantae; Streptophyta; Magnoliopsida; Solanales; Solanaceae
Exons: 3
Source: RefSeq, a predicted model, not a curated record
AUUAAUUUUCUUCAUGAUCUAAUAGUCAAACAACAUCAAGACUCAAUUAAAAAAUAGAUAAACAACAUGCUGAACUCAUCCAAUUAUUGAAACACAAUAGCCAAAAAUAUGAAAAGGUUCAUGUUUUGGAUGAUUCAACUGUCGGAGAAAAAUCAACACAAGCUCAAGUAGACGAGAUGGAUAUCAUGCAGAAUAUUGAAGGCAUACAAAAAGGGCAAGAGGGAGAAGAAAAAACAGGAAAUGUACCAUCAAAAGAAGAUGUUGAAGAUGUUGAAAUUUUCAAAAUCUUGAAAGAAAAAGGAAAAAAG